Eptesicus fuscus (big brown bat) is the source of this 437-nucleotide long non-coding RNA. RefSeq lists it as uncharacterized. The record is from RefSeq and is a predicted model, not a curated record. NCBI's taxonomy places the organism in Eukaryota, Metazoa, Chordata, Mammalia, Chiroptera, Vespertilionidae. The transcript has 2 exons.
GUGGGGUGAGGGUGUUCUAGGGCGGGGGGCGGGGCUGCCGCGCUGUGGGGUCCGAGGGGAUGUUGAAUGAAUAGAUGAACUGCUUGCUGGGCACACUGCCACAGCCAAAGAACAGUGUGAUGGGGAGAAAGAAGCCGGGGACCCGGCCUCCUGCACAGCCUCGCGUGGCCUGACGUCCAGGGGAGCCCUCAGGAAGACCUGGGCGGAGACCAGCCUCAAGAUGAGCACAUUUUAAAUGGGAAAGCCAUAAAGACGAGGUUUUUUGGCAACAUCACAAGAAAAUAACACGUAAUAAUUAAGUGCAGCCGGCCCUCGCUCCGUAUCUCGGGUUCCGCCUCUGCAGAUUCAACCAACCGCGGGUCAAGAAUCUUUGCGAAAUAAAAAAGGAAAGUGUUGCCGUUGCUGACCUAUGCUACGUGUAACUUAGUUAAAAUAGA